Molecule: ribosomal RNA, 467 nt
Filed under: uncultured bacterium
Lineage: Bacteria
Description: partial 16S ribosomal RNA
Rfam family: Bacterial small subunit ribosomal RNA
Source: RNAcentral
GAUGAACGCUGACAGAAUGCUUAACACAUGCAAGUCAACUUGAAUUUGGGUUUUUACCUUAGGUUUGGGUGGCGGACGGGUGAGUAACGCGUAAAGAACUUGCCUCACAGCUAGGGACAACAUUUGGAAACGAAUGCUAAUACCUAAUAUUAUGAUAAUAGGGCAUCCUAUAAUUAUGAAAGCCAUAAGCGCUGUGAGAGAGCUUUGCGUCCCAUUAGCUAGUUGGAGAGGUAACGGCUCACCAAGGCGAUGAUGGGUAGCCGGCCUGAGAGGGUGAUCGGCCACAAGGGGACUGAGACACGGCCCUUACUCCUACGGGAGGCAGCAGUGGGGAAUAUUGGACAAUGGACCGAGAGUCUGAUCCAGCAAUUCUGUGUGCACGAUGAAGUUUUUCGGAAUGUAAAGUGCUUUCAGUUGGGAAGAAACAAAUGACGGUACCAACAGAAGAAGUGACGGCUAAAUACGUG